Molecule: transfer RNA, 72 nt
Filed under: Camelus bactrianus (Bactrian camel)
Lineage: Eukaryota; Metazoa; Chordata; Mammalia; Artiodactyla; Camelidae
Also listed under: 2 other names
Rfam family: tRNA
About the family: Transfer RNA (tRNA) molecules are approximately 80 nucleotides in length. Their secondary structure includes four short double-helical elements and three loops (D, anti-codon, and T loops). Further hydrogen bonds mediate the characteristic L-shaped molecular structure. tRNAs have two regions of fundamental functional importance: the anti-codon, which is responsible for specific mRNA codon recognition, and the 3' end, to which the tRNAs corresponding amino acid is attached (by aminoacyl-tRNA synthetases). tRNAs cope with the degeneracy of the genetic code in two manners: having more than one tRNA (with a specific anti-codon) for a particular amino acid; and 'wobble' base-pairing, i.e. permitting non-standard base-pairing at the 3rd anti-codon position.
Source: Rfam by way of RNAcentral
GAGGGUGUAGCUCAAGUGGUAGAGCACGUGCUUAGCAUGCACUGGAUCCUGGGUUCAAUCCUCAGUACCCCA